Molecule: long non-coding RNA, 485 nt
Filed under: Homo sapiens (human)
Lineage: Eukaryota; Metazoa; Chordata; Mammalia; Primates; Hominidae
Description: HSALNT0370376
Source: RNAcentral
CACACCCUUCUCCAUAUGUAUUUGUGCACGUGUAUGUCUGUUGGAAAGAUGGGUCCUAGAAAUAGAGUUGAGAGGGUAGAAGUUUAUGCAAGUUUUGAAGUUUGAUGGAAUCUGCCAUUGCCCUUGGAAAAAGCUGUGCCUUGUCAUUUUGAGUGGAACCUACACUGUCAGCUUUCCUGGUUCUCAGGCCUUUGGACUCAGACUGGAACUGCACCAUCAGCUCUCCUGGGGCUCUAGCUUGUCAAUUACAGGUCUUGGGACUUCACAGCUUUCAUAAUUGCAUGAGCCAAUUCCUGAUUCUCUCUCUCUCUCUCUGUAUAUGUAUGCAAGGAUUCCUCUCGUGGUGACAAGAUGGCUGCCGCAGCUCUGAGAAUCACAUCCUCACAAGAUAGCAUCCAGAUCCAGGAAGGGAAGACAGCCAAAGCAGGAAAGGCACUUUCUCUGCAUGUACCACUCUUUUAUUAAAGGGACUGUGAAGAUUACCU